RNAcentral lists this ribosomal RNA (520 nucleotides) under uncultured Acaulospora. Its description in RNAcentral is "SSU rRNA". It matches the Rfam family "Eukaryotic small subunit ribosomal RNA", at positions 569 to 1088 of the family's 1831-position model. The record is from RNAcentral. Lineage: Eukaryota; Fungi; Glomeromycota; Glomeromycetes; Diversisporales; Acaulosporaceae.
AGCAGCCGCGGUAAUUCCAGCUCCAAUAGCGUAUAUUAAAGUUGUUGCAGUUAAAAAGCUCGUAGUUGAAUUUCGGGGUUUAUCCGUUGGUCGGGCUUUUUGGUCUGUACUGGCGUGAUGGAUUCCUACCUUCUGAAUAACCGGCAUGCCAUUAAUUUGGUGCGCCGGGGAAGCAGGACUGUUACCUUGAAAAAAUUAGAGUGCUUAAAGCAGGCUUAUGCCUGAAUACAUUAGCAUGGAAUAAUGAAAUAGGACGGCAUGGUUCUAUUUUGUUGGUUUCUAGGAUCGACGUAAUGAUUAAUAGGGAUAGUUGGGGGCAUUAGUAUUCAAUUGUCAGAGGUGAGAUUCUUGGAUUUAUUGAAGACUAACUACUGCGAAAGCAUUUGCCAAGGAUGUUUUCAUUAAUCAAGAACGAAAGUUAGGGGAUCGAAGACGAUCAGAUACCGUCGUAGUCUUAACCAUAAACUAUGCCGACUAGGGAUCGGAUGAUGUUAAUUUUUUAAUGACUCAUUCGGCGCCU